UAUGGCCAUACCACCCUGAACACUCUCAAUCUCAUCUGAUCUCAGAAGCUAAGCAGGAUUGGGCCUGGUUUAGUACAUGAAUGGGAGUAAAAUUAGUAAGAGAAAACCAUGUCUGCCAAGA
Ribosomal RNA from Macaca nemestrina (pig-tailed macaque), 121 nucleotides. The record is from Ensembl. NCBI's taxonomy places the organism in Eukaryota, Metazoa, Chordata, Mammalia, Primates, Cercopithecidae.